Molecule: ribosomal RNA, 518 nt
Filed under: uncultured Glomus
Lineage: Eukaryota; Fungi; Glomeromycota; Glomeromycetes; Glomerales; Glomeraceae
Description: SSU rRNA
Rfam family: Eukaryotic small subunit ribosomal RNA
Source: RNAcentral
GUAUUCCGCUCCAUAGCGUAUAUUAAAGUUGUUGCAGUUAAAAAGCUCGUAGUUGAAUUUCGGAAUCUGUCCAUUGGUCGGGCUUCACUGUCCGUACUGGUGUGGUGGGUUCUUACCUUCUGAAUAACCAGCAUGCCAUUCACUUGGUGCGUUGGGGAAGCAGGACUAUUACCUUGAAAAAAUUAGAGUGCUCAAAGCAGGCUAGUGCCUGAAUACAUUAGCAUGGAAUAAUAAAAUAGGACGGCAUGGUUCUAUUUUGUUGGUUUCUAGGAUCACCGUAAUGAUUAAUAGGGAUAGUUGGGGGCAUUAGUAUUCAAUUGUCAGAGGUGAAAUUCUUGGAUUUAUUGAAGACUAACUUCUGCGAAAGCAUUUGCCAAGGAUGUUUUCAUUAAUCAAGAACGAAAGUUAGGGGAUCGAAGACGAUCAGAUACCGUCGUAGUCUUAACCAUAAACUAUGCCGACUAGGGAUCGGACGAUGUUAAUUUUUUAAUGACUCGUUCGGCACCUUACGGGAAACA